GCCUAUGGCUAUACCCAGUUAAAAGCACCGGAACUGUCCUGAUCUCUGAAGUUAAUCAACUCUAGGUCUGGUUAGUAUUUGGAUGGAUGAACACCUUGGAACCCCUGGUUCUGUAGGCU
RNAcentral lists this ribosomal RNA (119 nucleotides) under Hofstenia miamia. Lineage: Eukaryota; Metazoa; Xenacoelomorpha; Acoela; Hofsteniidae. The record is from RNAcentral.